Empidonax traillii (willow flycatcher) is the source of this 390-nucleotide non-coding RNA. The record is from the annotation of a RefSeq genome assembly. NCBI's taxonomy places the organism in Eukaryota, Metazoa, Chordata, Aves, Passeriformes, Tyrannidae.
AACCUCGACCCUCGACACCCCUCCCCCCCCAAUCUCCCUGGCCCCUCCGGCUUCAACUUCGGCGACUACGACAUGGGCUGGGCCCGCCAGAGCCCCGGGAAGGGGCCGGAAUUCGUCGCCAGCAUCAGGAAGGACGGCGGGUUCAGCACCUACGCGCCGUGGGUGAAGGGCCGGUUCAGCAUCGCCAGGGACAACGGGCAGAGCUCGGUGACGCUGCAGAUGAACAACCUCAGGGACGAGGAUUCCGCCACCUAUUUCUGUGCCAAGAGCGUCUAUUCCGGCUACAACCGGGGCGGUGCCGGUGGGGUGGUCCAAAUGUCAGCCGCUGACCCCAAAAUCUGGGCCCUUGACCCCAAAUCUCAGCCCUUGACCCCAAAUCUCGGUAACUGA